This 194-nucleotide ribosomal RNA is filed under the name uncultured bacterium. RNAcentral's name for it is "partial 16S ribosomal RNA". It matches the Rfam family "Bacterial small subunit ribosomal RNA", at positions 1308 to 1500 of the family's 1533-position model. The record is from RNAcentral.
CAACUCGCCUGCAUGAAGUUGGAAUUGCUAGUAAUCGCGAAUCAGAAUGUCGCGGUGAAUACGUUCCCGGGCCCUUGUACACACCGCCCGUCACACCAUGAGAGUCGAUAACACCCGAAGCCUGUGAGCUAACCGCAAGGAGGCAGCAGUCGAAGGUGGGGUUNAUGAUUGGGGUGAAGUCGUAACAAGGUAAC